UAGUCAUACGCUUGUCUCAAAGAUUAAGCCAUGCAUGUCUAAGUAUAAGCACUUAUACCGUGAAACUGCGAAUGGCUCAUUACAUCAGUUAUAGUUUAUUUGAUAGUCCCCACUACUUGGAUAACCGUAGUAAUUCUAGAGCUAAUACAUGCGUCAAGUCCUGACUGCGCGAGCGGAAAGGAUGUGUUUAUUAGAUACAACCAACCCCUUACGGGUUUCUGGUGAAUCAUAAUAACCGAACGAACCGUAUGCGCAAGCGACGGUGGUUCAUUCAAGUU
This 278-nucleotide ribosomal RNA is filed under the name uncultured eukaryote. RNAcentral describes it as "partial 18S ribosomal RNA". It matches the Rfam family "Eukaryotic small subunit ribosomal RNA", at positions 21 to 305 of the family's 1831-position model. The record is from RNAcentral.